Molecule: ribosomal RNA, 450 nt
Filed under: uncultured bacterium
Lineage: Bacteria
Description: partial 16S ribosomal RNA
Rfam family: Bacterial small subunit ribosomal RNA
Source: RNAcentral
GUGGGGAAUUUUGGACAAUGGGGGGAACCCUGAUCCAGCCAUGCCGCGUGUGUGAAGAAGGCCUUCGGGUUGUAAAGCACUUUUGUCAGGAAAGAAAGGUCGCCGGAUAAUACCUGGCGGACAUGACGGUACCUGAAGAAUAAGCACCGGCUAACUACGUGCCAGCAGCCGCGGUAAUACGUAGGGUGCAAGCGUUAAUCGGAAUUACUGGGCGUAAAGCGUGCGCAGGCGGUUCGGAAAGAAAGAUGUGAAAUCCCGGGGCUCAACCUCGGAACUGCAUUUUUAACUACCGGACUAGAGUAUGUCAGAGGGGGGUAGAAUUCCACGUGUAGCAGUGAAAUGCGUAGAGAUGUGGAGGAAUACCGAUGGCGAAGGCAGCCCCCUGGGAUAAUACUGACGCUCAUGCACUAAAGCGUGGGUAGCAAACAGGAUUAGAAACCCCAGUAGUCC